RNAcentral lists this ribosomal RNA (253 nucleotides) under uncultured bacterium. RNAcentral describes it as "partial 16S ribosomal RNA". It matches the Rfam family "Bacterial small subunit ribosomal RNA", at positions 524 to 776 of the family's 1533-position model. The record is from RNAcentral.
UACGUAGGGUGCGAGCGUUAAUCGGAAUUACUGGGCGUAAAGUGUGCGCAGGCGGCCGAGCAAGUCGAGUGUGAAAGCCCCGGGCUUAACUUGGGAAUUGCGCUCGAAACUACUUGGCUAGAGUGUGGCAGAGGAAGGUGGAAUUCCACGUGUGGCGGUGAAAUGCGUAGAGAUGUGGAGGAACACCGAUGGCGAAGGCAGCCUUCUGGGCCAACACUGACGCUCAUGCACGAAAGCGUGGGGAGCAAACAGG